GGACGGUGAUUGAUGGCGGGCCCUUCUCUGUGGGCCCCUCAGAGUGGAGCUGUGCCAGAGGAAGCGCAGCCCGGAACCAUGGCCCAGCCUCCUGACCUGUGGGCCGUGGGCACUGAGGGGGGCUGGACAGUA
Small nucleolar RNA from Suricata suricatta (meerkat), 132 nucleotides. NCBI's taxonomy places the organism in Eukaryota, Metazoa, Chordata, Mammalia, Carnivora, Herpestidae. The record is from Ensembl.